UAGGCACUUGGCCUCCGAGCUCUGCAUCCU
This 30-nucleotide non-coding RNA is filed under the name Macaca fascicularis (crab-eating macaque). RNAcentral also lists the same sequence under 1 other name. The record is from RNAcentral. Lineage: Eukaryota; Metazoa; Chordata; Mammalia; Primates; Cercopithecidae.